AAGUCAUAACAAGGUUUCCGUAGGUGAACCUGCGGAAGGAUCAUUAUUGAAUUCGGCCUCCUGGCCUUAUACAUUAAAAACACUGUGAACCGUGGCUUCGGCCCAAACUUGAAGUCUAGAAUGUAACAUAUCAUAACAAAAUACAACUUUUAACAACGGAUCUCUUGGCUCUC
This 173-nucleotide unclassified non-coding RNA is filed under the name Vishniacozyma dimennae. RNAcentral's name for it is "partial internal transcribed spacer region". The stretch from base 1 to 46 matches the Rfam family "Eukaryotic small subunit ribosomal RNA", at positions 1786 to 1831 of the family's 1831-position model. The record is from RNAcentral. Lineage: Eukaryota; Fungi; Basidiomycota; Tremellomycetes; Tremellales; Bulleribasidiaceae.